Sapajus apella (tufted capuchin) is the source of this 1101-nucleotide long non-coding RNA. RefSeq lists it as uncharacterized. Lineage: Eukaryota; Metazoa; Chordata; Mammalia; Primates; Cebidae. The transcript has 2 exons. The record is from RefSeq and is a predicted model, not a curated record.
CUUUUGGUUUAGGCAGAAAAGCUCCUCCAAGUUUGAUUCCAAAAACUAUAUCCGACUCCCUUCUUUCACCUCUCUAGUCCAUGAAGGACAGGAGAGACGACAGGAGGUUACAACUGCAGCACCCGCCCAAAGCUGACUGAGACAGCAGGAAGUCUCCAGCCCACUCUCGUCCAUCCACUCCCAGCGGAUUCCGCGACUCCGAGACCGCAGUCUACCCGCGAGUCCCCAUAAUGCAGGGCAGAGCAGCUGGGCUGAAUAAAACAGAGCCGGCGCCCUCCCUUCCCAAAGGCCUAAGCUGCCCACCGGUCCGGGCUCGAAGCUCAGCAGAAACAGAGAAGGAGCGGCUGUUGCCGGCACCAAGGAGUGCUCUCCUGGACUGCCGUGCGAGACAGAGCAGUGGUGGCCACAAAACAAGAGAAGAAUCCUGAGAAGAUGUUGCUGAUCCCAAAGGCAAUGAAUUCCUAAGGGAGAGACUGGAUGACAGUGAUGCUACAAAUUGAAUCUUUGCAAGACCUUAGCUGGGUAUUUCAGGAAGUACAUUAAGAAUGAAAACUCACGUGCCCACCCUGCCUGGUGGUCCAGUUUAAUUUUUACCAUGACAGGUACUUGGGGUCCUUGUACGACAUCAGGAGUUUGGACUCCAUACCACCCAAGAGAGGUCUCAUUGCUCUCGAUUACUUUUAAAGUUGACGAGAAAUAGCACCUGAUCCUUUUCUAAGUUUUUUCACUGCCUCGUGAAUGAAAUGUCUACAGCUCUCACAUAAAGUGUUUUUCUGUAGUUGAAUACUUGCUACAAAGCAUAUCAUGACUAGCAAUGCUGCUAUUCUGCUUGAUUACUAACCAUUUAACUGUUGUCAUCACUAUACUGUAUUUUCAGAAACGUAUAGGUACAGAACUUGAAAAUUUGCAAGCAGUGUGAAAUCAGCUUAACUGGCAAUGUAUCACAUGCCCAUACAAACUGCCUGUAUAUAUUAAUUGCACGGUGAACCACCUUAACUUAAAGUGGUCACAACUAUUAUUAAUAAUGUUUGUUGCGCUGUUUGGUCAUAUUAUAAUUGCCAUUAAAAGUAAUUACCAAGAGGUACUGGGUUACAUGAAGAA